AAAGGAAUUGACGGGGGCCCGCACAAGCGGUGGAUCAUGUGGUUUAAUUCGAAGCAACGCGAAAAACCUUACCUGGGUUUGACAUCCUUUGACAUCCGUAGAAAUACGGCUUUCGUAGCAAUACGACAAAGAGACAGGUGCUGCAUGGCUGUCGUCAGCUCGUGUGGUGACAUGUUGGGUUAAGUCCCGCAACGAGCGCAACCCUUGUCUUUAGUUGCCAGCAUUAAGUUGGGCACUCUAGAGAGACUGCCGUGGUUAACACGGAGGAAGGUGGGGAUGACGUCAAGUCCUCAUGGCCCUUAUGCCCAGGGCGACACACGUGAUACAAUGGCCGGUACAGAGGGCUGCUAAGGGGUGACCCCACGCAAAUCUCAAAAAACCGGUCUCAGUUCGGAUUGGAGUCUGCAACUCGACUCCAUGAAGGUGGAAUCGCUAGUAAUCGCGGAUCAGAACGCCGCGGUGAAUACGUUCCCGGGCCUUGUACACACCGCCCGU
RNAcentral lists this ribosomal RNA (495 nucleotides) under uncultured bacterium. Its description in RNAcentral is "bacterial SSU rRNA". It matches the Rfam family "Bacterial small subunit ribosomal RNA", at positions 903 to 1397 of the family's 1533-position model. The record is from RNAcentral.